This 276-nucleotide signal recognition particle RNA is filed under the name Aotus nancymaae (Ma's night monkey). RNAcentral describes it as "Metazoan signal recognition particle RNA (ENSANAG00000008814.1)". It matches the Rfam family "Metazoan signal recognition particle RNA". From Rfam's summary of the family: The signal recognition particle (SRP) is a universally conserved ribonucleoprotein. It is involved in the co-translational targeting of proteins to membranes. The record is from RNAcentral. Lineage: Eukaryota; Metazoa; Chordata; Mammalia; Primates; Aotidae.
CCCAGGUGAGGUGACAUGAGCCUAUAGUUCCAGCUACUGGGGAGGCUGAAGUGGGAGGAAUGCUUGAGGCCCGUUCUGAGCUGUAGUGCGGAGCCAUAAGUUCAUCAUCAAUAUAGUGACCUCCCAGGAGCAGGGGACCAGGCUGCCGAAGGUGGGGUGAACCAGCCCAGGGUGGAAAUGGAGGAGGUCAAAACUCUCGUGCUGAUCAGUAGUGGGAUCACACCUGUGAACAGCCACUGCACUCCAGCCUGGGCAAUAUAGCAAGACCCUGUCUCU